Non-coding RNA from Paramuricea clavata, 76 nucleotides. Lineage: Eukaryota; Metazoa; Cnidaria; Anthozoa; Malacalcyonacea; Plexauridae. The record is from the annotation of a GenBank genome assembly.
GGCGAGAUGGUCUAGUGGUAAUUCAGGACGAUGUGUUGCAAGUGCGUAAAGCCAGGAUCGAUUCCUGGUUGUGCCG